This 254-nucleotide ribosomal RNA is filed under the name uncultured bacterium. Its description in RNAcentral is "partial 16S ribosomal RNA". It matches the Rfam family "Bacterial small subunit ribosomal RNA", at positions 524 to 776 of the family's 1533-position model. The record is from RNAcentral.
GACAGAGGGUGCAAACGUUGCUCGGAAUCACUGGGCGUAAAGGGCGUGUAGGCGGGAAGGAAAGUCAGAUGUGAAAUCCCUGGGCUCAACCCAGGAACUGCAUUUGAAACUCCCUUUCUUGAGUACCGGAGAGGAAAGUGGAAUUCCUGGUGUAGAGGUGAAAUUCGUAGAUAUCAGGAGGAACACCAGUGGCGAAGGCGGCUUUCUGGACGGUAACUGACGCUGAGAACGCGAAAGCGUGGGGAGCAAACAGG